GCUGGGUGCAGUGGCACACGCCUAUAAUCCCAGUGGCUUGGGAGGCUGAGACAGGAGGAUUGCAAGUUUGAGACCAGCUUCAGCAACUUGGCAAGACCCUGUCUCAA
Molecule: small RNA, 107 nt
Filed under: Marmota monax (woodchuck)
Lineage: Eukaryota; Metazoa; Chordata; Mammalia; Rodentia; Sciuridae
Source: RNAcentral